RNAcentral lists this transfer RNA (73 nucleotides) under Canis lupus familiaris (dog). It matches the Rfam family "tRNA". Rfam says of the family: Transfer RNA (tRNA) molecules are approximately 80 nucleotides in length. Their secondary structure includes four short double-helical elements and three loops (D, anti-codon, and T loops). Further hydrogen bonds mediate the characteristic L-shaped molecular structure. tRNAs have two regions of fundamental functional importance: the anti-codon, which is responsible for specific mRNA codon recognition, and the 3' end, to which the tRNAs corresponding amino acid is attached (by aminoacyl-tRNA synthetases). tRNAs cope with the degeneracy of the genetic code in two manners: having more than one tRNA (with a specific anti-codon) for a particular amino acid; and 'wobble' base-pairing, i.e. permitting non-standard base-pairing at the 3rd anti-codon position. Lineage: Eukaryota; Metazoa; Chordata; Mammalia; Carnivora; Canidae. The record is from Rfam by way of RNAcentral.
GCCUGGCUGGCUCAAUCGGUAGAGCAUGUGACUCUUGAUCUCCAGGUUGUGAGUUCAAACCCUAUGUUAGGCU